Molecule: ribosomal RNA, 393 nt
Filed under: uncultured bacterium
Lineage: Bacteria
Description: partial 16S ribosomal RNA
Rfam family: Bacterial small subunit ribosomal RNA
Source: RNAcentral
ACACGGAGGAUCCGAGCGUUAUCCGGAUUUAUUGGGUUUAAAGGGUGCGUAGGCGGUUUGCUAAGCGGGAGGUGAAAUGCCGGCGCUCAACGUCGGAAGUGCCUCCCGAACUGGUGGACUUGAAUGACUCUGCCGUGGGAGGAAUGUGUAGUGUAGCGGUGAAAUGCUUAGAGAUUACACAGAACACCGAUUGCGAAGGCAUCUCACGAAGGGUUGAUUGACGCUGAGGCACGAAAGCGUGGGGAUCAAACAGGAUUAGAUACCCUGGUAGUCCACGCAGUAAACGAUGAUGGCUAACCGCUGGGCUUAUCAGUUCAGUGGCCAAGCGAAAGCGAUAAGCCAUCCACCUGGGGAGUACGACCGCAAGGUUGAAACUCAAAUGAAUUGACGGGG